ACAUGUGCUAAUAUGUUUGAUAUUACAUUUAUGAUGUCCUUGUCUUAACUUUUAAGGCAGAGAUUCAAGGCUCUUGAAUCCAGAAUGGAGAAACCAUAAAUGUGUUAGAAUGCUAAUUAGAUGCUUGAGGGUCCCCCAGGUUUGGAGGUGCCCUAGGGAGGGAGAAAGUAGAGGGUGCUAGGCAGCCAGGUAAGUGCAGGAGACCAUCUUUCCUUUCCCCCUUAUUUUAACCUUUUGGGUGUUCUGAGUGGGAAAGGUUCAUUCCUUUUAGAUGGAUGUGGCUUUAAGACAGAAAUGAAUUUAAAGAGAAAUUAUACGGGGAAGUAUUUUUUUCUUGAGUUUGAAAUGCAGGGUGGAAGGGAUGAGAAAUACACCAGGGCAGGAGAACAGCCUUUGGGUGUAGUCUGUGUGCCUGGACUCUUAAAC
Molecule: long non-coding RNA, 426 nt
Filed under: Bos taurus (domestic cattle)
Lineage: Eukaryota; Metazoa; Chordata; Mammalia; Artiodactyla; Bovidae
Description: long non-coding RNA NONBTAT007086
Source: RNAcentral